GGCCCUCCAAAAGGAGUCAUGGAAUGACUGUUAAAAUUAACUGCUGAUCCCUUUAUUGCCGGUGACUGUGUUGCUUGGCUGGAGUCUGACCCGUAAUGGCUGACGUGGGAACUAAUAGGUUCUGGAGUGUUAUCAGUCCUGUAUUUCAUGGCUGGACCUUUAUCUUCUUUGCUUUUAAUGCACCCCAUGGUUGCUUCUGCCCGUCCUCGGCGGCGCGGGUGGGAGAAGGAGGGGGAGAGGGAAGGAAGCGGGGCCCCCCCCGCUCCUCCCGGAGCCGCGGCGACCCGGGGAGGGAAGGGGGGGAGGAGGGGAAGGGAGGAGGGAAGAGGAGCAGGAGGAGGGAGCCGGGCGCUCCGGUGCGUGCGAGGAGCCGGAGCCUGGCGGCGGGAGGAGGAGACUCCCCGCCCCUACGGCCGGGCUCUCCGGCGGGCACCUCCGGCCCCUCCUCCGCAGCGCUCCGCCUCGCCCCCGCUGCCCGCGGGCGCCCGGGUGAGGCGCGACACGAAGCUCCCCGCCCGAUCAGAGGCCGCGGGGAGGAGCCGGGCGGACCCCUCCUCGGCGGCGCCGCGCACCGAACCAACAUGGUGGCGGCAGCGGCAGCGCGGGGUGGAGGGGAGGCGAGGGGCAGCUCCCGAUCGGGGCCUUUCGGGGAGGGUUGCGCAGAGCCCGGCUGCCGCCUUCUUGCUUGACGCCGGUCAGGUGUGUGGCUUCAGCUCUGAGCUCUUCCGCCUGCCGUGGGAAAGGUGUGGAGAAAUUACUCUUCAACCACGCAGCCGGGGAUGUCCAGGCUUGGUGUGUUAUGGAUUUGAGUCAGACAGGACAAGGAAGGAGGAGCUGCACUCAUCUGCUGUAGCAUGUGUGGAAUACAGUGUGAGAUGCUGCUGCUGUGGUUUGCUGCUACCAGGUGCUGGGUACCAUUUCAUGACCAGUGCUUCAGGCAGGCUCAGCCUCUGUGAACUCCUCAGCUGUGCUGCGUUUCUGGUUUUCCAGGAAAAAUGCUGCUGUUAAGGUUGGGAUUAACAUAAUCACAAAGAUUAUGUGUAAUAUCCUAAAUGUAGACUGUGAAAAUUGUUACGUAUUUGAAUUGAUUCCUAAAGAAGGUGAUCAUUUAUAUUUAUGCAGUUCUAAAUGCACUUUUGGUUUUGGUUCAAAUUACCCAGUGAUUGGUAGGAUAAAGAACUUACUACGCCAAAGGAAGUAUUUUUAGUGGGAACACGGGUAUAAGAGCAGAAAGAAGGAAGGAACAGGAAUAGAGGUGUAGGAGAGCAGUCUGGGAUAUUUCAGGCACUGAUGUGGGUGCACAGAUUUGUGAUUGAGGAACACAGGACUUGUAUUCUGAGACUUGAGAAAAGCAGGACUUGUGUCCUGAGAUUUUGCAAGGAGGUGGGCAGGGCUUUUCUGAAGCACUUUAACAGUGUGUGCUGAUGGUUAAUGUAUGGUACGCAUUGUAGGCAUGUAGAAACUUGGAAACACUGAGACAUUCUUGAAAAUAAUUGGUGGGAUUGUUUUCCAGUAAAUCAGAAUAGCUCAUAGCCCUCUGCAAACAACUUUUAAAAGAUACCUUUACCUACAUUCAUCCUUUCAUUUUGAGAAAUAAGUGGUAGGCAGGUCCUCAUCUUAUUUUCAGAAGUGUGGAAAAUAUCGGCCUAUUAUAGAAGCAUCUUCCAAAAUUCAUGGGCUAAGUUCCCUUUGCUUAUUGUACUGUGUGAUGAAAUUGUAAAAAGCAGUUCUUCUUGGAAUGGGCUAGUGUUUGUUACAUGCUUAUUUUUAAGUGCUUUGAUAAAUAUUGUUCUUUUGUCAUGUUAAUUUCUUUGAGUGAAGCUAUUAAUAAAAUCACUGAUUUUUAGAAGUCAAACAUUUUACUUGGGUAUAAUGCAAGUUAUGUAUGAAUCCAGUAGUUCAGUGAAGAAGCAGUGUAAAGUCACGGGAUGGUGGAUCUGUUAUUUUUUCUUAUUCUGAAGCAAGAAUUCUAUUUAAACAUUACGUUACGCUUCUAUAGGUUUUCUUCAGAAAUGCCCUAUUUUGCCAUAAAAUCAUUCGACUCCUCCAAAUGGCCAGGGUCCGUGUGUUUGGUACUCACUUCUAUCUGAAAGAUUAAGUAUUCCAUUCUUACUCAAAUGCAAAUAGCGUUUCCCUGUGAUCUUGUGAAACAUGACUAACUACUUGCACAUGUUAUACUUUCAGCACGUGUGUGGAGGCUUAAAAAGAAAGACCACACGACACUGAUUCAAACAUUAUUUAGGAAAUCAUUUAAAGUUACUUCUGAAUGCAUGUUAUACUCUAUCUUGGAAAAUGCCACGCUUCUAAACCUGUUGCUAUUUACAUUUGUGUCACAUCCACUUAUAUCAGACACGCUGGAUUACAUUGUAUAAUGAAAGCCGUAUUGCUGUACUCUAAUCUUUAUCUCUUUAUAUCCGAUCUACUUUGAAUUGCACAUGAGUAUUGUUUAUGGUUACUUAAAAUAACUACUGCUUUUAUUUCAAGGGCAGUGUUAUGUAUGGUGAACACUUAACACGCAGCCCUACUUUGGCAGCAGCUACAGAUCCUGUAUCCUUGGUUCCUGCAUGAAAGCAGCAGAGAUCCAGAUCUUUCAUUUAAGUUUCACAUUUGAAAAAUCUGAAGCCUGUGCAAUUGUAGAUGUGAAGAAAAAUGUAAUGCAUUUCUUGAACCACUGUUCUCUUCUGAGGGAUUUGGAACUUAUACUCUUCCUCACAGAGCAGGUCGUGCACUGUUGCUCAGAAGGGAAAGGAACAAACAGCAAGAGAAAAAGAAAUACGUGUUAAAGCUGACCUGAACUACUUUUGGUAUUGACAUCAGUGCUUGAGUCGUUCAGAGCCUUUAAGAGUCUUCUCACUUCACUUACCAGCCUGUGUAAUGGAACAGUUUCUGCUGACUUUGGGAGAUUUGCACAUCUACGUAUUGGUUAUACUUACUAAGUUAUUGUUGUACAUUGUGCUGACUGCCUAAGAUAGUACUGUGGAAGAAACUCUUAAUAUCAUGAGAUGCAAAAUCCAAGUGAAUACAACAUUUAGACAGAGCUCUUAGGGGAUUCCACUCCAAAUUCAGUUAUUUCCCAGCACACACUGACUUUUAGCUGUUGAAUAUACAUGCUAUUCACAGAGCUUUUAUAUGUGACUUCAUAAGUGAAGUGGAGGAGGCAUAGCAAUUAUGCGCAUUGUCUUAUUAUAGUCCUUUGGACUAGCUUUCUUAAGGAGCCUUUCCCCCACCAUCCCAUCAUCCUUGCUGUAUUCCUGUUUUCUCCUCCUCCUCAUGGCUGGCUGGUACUUCCUCUGCUCUUAGCGUGGUCCAUUCUUGUGACCUCCCGCCCGACUGAAGAUGGACAACUUCUUCAGGCCUGUGCCAAUGCCCUUUGUUGUGCGUUAAUCCCUGAUAGAUCUGAAUUUCCCAUGCUAGGUUGUUAUUAUGGCCCUAGUGUUUUGAGGAUAAUUGCCUGGGCACCAGAAAGCCUUCCCUCCUCAUUUAGAUGAAUGUGUUGAUGUUUAUUAAUUUGGGAAUAGUUCCAGGAACAAAAUCAUUCCACAGUCUAGGAUGCCAGACAAAUCCUUAGAGCGGAGCUUUGAUCAGGAUGGGGCUGCUCACUGUCAUGUUCAGCAUUACAGGUGAACACAAACAUUGUGUACCAUCUAGAGAUCUCAGAAAAUUGGGCAGCUGUCAGAUGCAUUGUUUCUUUUCUUGGCAAGCCCUGCAUCUUUGUUGUUUAUCCUCCCUCUUCUGUUCCUUCAGCUGGAGGUUGCAGUCCCCUCAGGUCUGUCAGCAUAACUACAACUAUCAUUUUUUUCCUGUACUUUUACAGUUCUGCCAACAUGAUCACAGCCAGUUUGAGUCUCCUAACAGUUUUCUAAAAGCUGAGAUUUGGUUGGUACAACUUUGCUAAGGAAUGGCAGUGCUCACUGCUAUGAGGAAAGAGGUUACCACAUGUGGAGGAGACUGUCACCUUACUUGACCUCAGCUGCAGCCAGAACUUCCUGAAUUUUCCUACAAUUCAGAAUUUAGAAAACCCCAGUGUGAUUACAGUUAUAUACAAGAGACAGCAGUGGUGGGAAGGAGGGAGAAAACAAUGGCUAUGAUUUCCUGAUGUGUGUCUCUUGGCCCUGCAUGGAUCUUUUCUAGCCUUGCUUCAGAUAAAUACCCCUUUGUUCCUUUCUUCCUACCUGCUCAGCUCCACUGAAGCAGCUGCAGCCUUUUUUUUUUCUUCCCUAAGGGUGAACAGAGCGUCAGGACUGAGCCAGCCCAGGUAACAAAAGCUGGAGAAGAGGCACUUGUGGAAAACUCGCUGUUAAAAUAUGAACAACAGCAACAACAAAAAACACGCCACAGUAAGAGGUGGAAGAAGCCUGGAUUUACUGAAAGCAGCCUUGCCACUAGAUAAUGCUUUUUAAUAUUACUAGUAAGAGUUCUUCGACUUCUUCAACUUCUUUUGCUGAGGUUGUUCUUGGCAAUCAUCUGCUUCACUGCUGGGACACUUGCACUGUGAAAUCUGCUGUUCUCUCAUGUUAAGAGAAAGUAACUUUGCCAGCGAAUCUACAGAGAAGCACCUCGACCUCCAGACUGGGAGCAGUCAUUUGAGAUUUAGCAAGUCUCAUGCUGAUGUCAAGGAUAUGCCUUUUGCGGUAUCUCUUAAUAAUACACCCACAUCUGACCUGGUGGUGAGUAAGUCUCUGCACAGCCUCACUUUGCAUGUAGGGGCUUAGCUCAUCUAAGCUGAGUUCUCCCCAAACUAUCUGCAUAUCCUCCCACAAGCCCUGCUUGCCAAGCAGCCUGGAGAUGCUCUGCUCCAAGGCUUCAAAGGCGAAGCCAGCAUUUCUUUGCAAUUAGGUAGAAAUGUACAGCUGGGAUGGACCUCCCACUGUGCAGCAAUCAUUGUGGGAAAGUAUCAGUUGCCUUUCCCUUCUCCACGCCUGGCUUAAAAAGAACAGAAAAGUACAAGAAUAAAUAAAUGAGGAAGACUCUGCUUCCAUGUUGCUCUUCUCUAGUUCUGCAGGCUGCUGCUUUGUCCUGCUCUAUCAUUAGCACACUUCUUGAAGAGCUGGCUCUCAAGUGGGGAAACAAGCGGAGCAAAACCCAGCCUGAGCCCCCUGCACAAGUGUUUAUGCUGGGGAUACAUCAUAGCUUUUUGGAACUUCUAAUGUUUGUAUUCUUCAAAAGGCAGGAAAAAACUGCUACGUUCAGCAGAAAACUCUCUAUAUUCCAUGAACUUAGAACUGAAACUAUAAAAAUGCCAAAUAUUAAUUUUUUGUUGUUGUUGUUGUUUUGAAUGGAGAGCUUGUAUCAACAUGUGUUUCUCUGAAUUUUGAGUUACUCUUAAAAAGAUGGAGCUGACACGUACUCCUUCAUUUACCUUAAGCACAUAGUUAAUUGAUCCUUUUGGUUUGGAGAACUGCAAAACUGUGAUGGGAAUACACAAAUCUUCAAUUUUUUAAAAAAUAGUAUCUUACUUCACUAUUUCCUUUUAGUCUCUACAUUUCUUUAAAUAGUCUAUAGCAGCCAAAUAAUAUCAUGCAAGAGAUAUUUCAUUGCUCAUAGAAUAAACUGUAAUUGUGCAAUAAAAGAAUGCAUUUGUCAUUCUCAUAAUGGGACAAAAUUAAUUACUUGGAGACAAAUCCAGCUAAAGAAAAUAAGAGAAAUACUAAAUCAAAAAUACGUAACAUUAAAGGUUACAUUAAUGUUGCUUCCUUCUACUUGUUUUUCCUUUCACUUUUGGUUAAAAAGGGAUUUUCCAAAGCACAGGAAUUUGCUCAUUCUAUUCCUAGUUCUUUGAAAACAGAGUGUAUGAAAAUCAGACUGACUGUUCCACCCUGAAUCAUAUUGUUUGCUUUUGUUUUCUAAUUGGGAAGAAUAAUAAAACAUGGAAAGCUCAAAAAUAUUUGGGUUUUGAAAUGUGGUCUUGGGGCAUCUUUGAUGGAUCAUCCUAACACAGCUAGAAGGGACUCUAUUGUUCUUUAUGGAAAAUAUAAUCCAUCCAGGGACCCCAGAUGACAGGGGAAAUGAGGGGCCUAAACCAUGACAAACUCCUGAUGAGUAAUGACAAACCAUCCUGAAGCAAAACAUUUUGAUUUGCUUGGACGGUUCAAAACAUUUUGGAUUCUCUUUUAUUUUCCCACAGGGACAUUACGUUGUUUUGGCACAACCAACUUUUUCCUGUGGAAAAAAAAAAUAUUGCAGAAACCACUUUUCUACUAAAAAACAUGGACAGAAAUCCCUGGAUCAGCAGUAAAGAGAAGAUGUCAAACCAGAACCAAGCACAUUUGAAAAUAUUCUCCCCAGAGAACAUUAAGAAUACUCCAACCUGGCAGUGAGAAUUUUAUAUCAUCUCCAUAUUUUACACUAGUAUAAAGGUAAAUAUAUUUCAUAGACAGUGAACGUAACGUGAUGAAAUCCAUGUGGCAUGGCUUGAUACGUUUCAACACAUUUAAAAUAUGAUGUUUCACUGAGGCCUUCAAAAGCUGUUUCUUUCAAAAAAGUCGAAGUCUUGUGGAAAACUUAGGCCUUUGAAAUGAAAAACUACACUUGAGAUUUCACAACUGUGAACUUGUUAAAAAACUGACCAGUGCUUUUGAAAAAAAAAAUAACAUUCUACAAAGCAGAGGGUUUAAGCACUUUCCCUAUGGGGACAAGCUGAGUGAAUUGGGGCUCUUCAGCCUGGAGAAGGGUCCAGAAGGACCUUCUAGCGGCCUUCCAAUAUCUGAAGGGGGCCUACAGGAAAGCUGGAAAAGCACUUUUUGUAAGGUAUGUAGCAAUAGGGUGAGGGGAAAUGGCUUUAAACUGGAAGAGGGUAGGUUUAGAGUAGAUAUAAGGAAGAAAUUCUUUACUGUGAGAGUGGUGAGACACUGAAACAGGUUACCCAGUGAGGUUGUGGAUGCCCCCUUACUGGAAACAUUCAAGGCCAGGCUGGAUGGGGCUGUGAGCAACCUGGUCUACAGGGAGGUGUCCCUGCCUAUAGCAGGGGGUUGGAACCAGGUGAUCUUAAAUGUUCCUUCCAAUACAAACCAUUCUAUGAUGUUUCUAUGAAGUUUUUAGAAAAAUUCUUUGUUAUUUGUUACUCAGAAUCAUAUUGCUACGUUCAGUUCUAAAAAACAGGGACACAAAACUUUUUUAAAGCAAAGCAUGAGGUAUGGCGGGGUCUUCCUGAAGUCUUAGGUCAGUGGUAGUUAGGUAACCUGCCAGGCCAUCGCACAGCCUUGAGUCCCUCUUGGCACCUGGAAGCAGCAAAUUCAAAGAGAAAGCCUUUGGCUUUCUAGAACUGGCAGCCACCUCUCUGUCUAUGUUUCAGGACAACUUCUCUGCUAAAUGUGGUAAAGUUUGCCCUGGCUUCUUCUGUAUCAAGGCAGGCUUCAUCCUGGCAGUGGUAUGUAGAGGACAAGGCCUGUUGUUUCCCAC
This 7398-nucleotide long non-coding RNA is filed under the name Gallus gallus (chicken). Lineage: Eukaryota; Metazoa; Chordata; Aves; Galliformes; Phasianidae. The record is from RNAcentral.